CGCGUCUCACAGUCGGUUACCACUUCGAGUGUAGCGCGCAGCUCAACGUUAAAAUCACUGAAAAUAAAAGUAAUCUUCAGAAUAUUAUUGUGAUCAAGUGCAACUCAGUACUAAUUGCAGUAACAGAUUAUUAAAAGAAUGCUUCUUCGAUCAAUAUUUCGAUUGCGGACAUCUCGCAAACUACAACAGAUAGGAAUGAACGGAUUGAAGAUGCUUAAUCUACAGUAUUUGCCAUGCCUGGAGUCCAUGAGUUUUGCAUUGGUUUUAACUGGAUUAAUCGUGGUGUACUUCUUCGACCAUC
Dalotia coriaria is the source of this 301-nucleotide long non-coding RNA. RefSeq lists it as uncharacterized. The transcript is spliced from 4 exons. The record is from RefSeq and is a predicted model, not a curated record. NCBI's taxonomy places the organism in Eukaryota, Metazoa, Arthropoda, Insecta, Coleoptera, Staphylinidae.